GGGGGGAGGCCGGAUCCUGGGCUGUGUCCCGGCGCCCUGUGCUCCGGCGACUGCGCUGUUGGAUUCGCGCUCCCGCCCCGCAGCCCCCU
RNAcentral lists this microRNA precursor (89 nucleotides) under Canis lupus familiaris (dog). Its description in RNAcentral is "mir-8799 microRNA precursor family". It matches the Rfam family "mir-8799 microRNA precursor family". Lineage: Eukaryota; Metazoa; Chordata; Mammalia; Carnivora; Canidae. The record is from Rfam by way of RNAcentral.